AUUGAAGCAUCAUCUGAUAUGGGGCUGCUGAAUUACAAAGUCACUCAACCAAAGGAAGUUGAAAAGGAGACUCUCAGCCCUUUGAAAGAUGUCACAAAUGAUUUGAAAAAGGAAUCAAGCAUCAAUAAAGAACAAGAUCCUGGUGAAACUCUGGCAGCUAGUGGACAAUCUCUUGAAAAUGCAUAGACAAAACCUCAGACCGUUCAAGUGAUGCCACCUUCAACACCCAUUGCGUCAGUGGUAGGGCAAACUUUAAUAGAGAUUGACCAGAAAUCCGUCAAGGAAACUGCAAAAGAAUUACCUGCUGUUAGUGCUCUCUCUGCAAUUACAGAGGUUAUACCAUCCCCAGCUCACCAUCUCUAGCUGAAUCGCAGAAAGUUGCGGACUCUGCAACCAAAUUGAGGCAACGUAUAAAAAAUAUCCAACAAGUGGUUAAUGUUGGAAAGGAAUUGAGAGAUGCUGUCAAAAAGACCUCUGAAGAUGACAUAAUAGUUGUCAUUGAACGAGGGAUGGCAGAAGCAGCAGCCGCCGAAACAACACCAACGAUUGAUGUUGAACUCAGACACUAGCCGAAGAGCCACAGGUUGCUCAAGUCCAUCGACCUCGUGAAUGGGAUAUUGUAAAGAGCAUGGUCUAUGGUGGCUUGAUAGAAUCAAUAACAAGUCUAGGUGUUGUGUCAUCUGCAGUGGGAGCUGGUGCUGCCACACCUUAGAGAGUUGAAGAA
Rhodamnia argentea is the source of this 724-nucleotide long non-coding RNA. RefSeq lists it as uncharacterized. The record is from RefSeq and is a predicted model, not a curated record. Lineage: Eukaryota; Viridiplantae; Streptophyta; Magnoliopsida; Myrtales; Myrtaceae. The transcript has 4 exons.